Molecule: long non-coding RNA, 778 nt
Organism: Lagenorhynchus albirostris (white-beaked dolphin)
Lineage: Eukaryota; Metazoa; Chordata; Mammalia; Artiodactyla; Delphinidae
Exons: 3
Source: RefSeq, a predicted model, not a curated record
GGAUCCGUGUCGCCCAGCCUGCCCCCCACCCCGGAUCCCGACCUCCCUGUUUAGAGUUAUGACCCUUCCCGCACACUCGCGCCCCUUCCCUAUUUUUGUUCCGUCUAGGAAACCCAGCACCUUCUAACAGACCUCAUUUAAUGGCGUUUCUUGUCUGUCUCUCAGUGGAACGGGAACUCCAUGACGGAAGGGAUUUUCCAGAAACUCAGAUGGUACCUGGCCCUCAGGCAGCCCUCAGUCGAAGUUGUUGUCCGUGCGGUCAGUUCUGACGGAUGAGCUGUCAGUAGAAGCUUCCGGAGUGGAGCUCCCAACGGCCCCUCCUGAGCUCCCCCUGGUAUGGCAACGCCAGACGGUCCCACGUUCAUUCUGGAGCCCGUCACCAACCCUGGGAUGGAUCACCACAUAGCAGGAGCAAGACAUAAACCUGCAGGGUUUCGAGUGGCGGAGCUUUUCGGAGCAGUUUGUUACUGCUGCAGAGCCUGGCGGGUCCUGAGGGAUAGUCGGGAACUCACGGGGCUGUCGUGGGGAUCGGAUACUCUGGAAACAUUUAUCGAACAAACGUCAAAACUUAGCUCCUUGGAAAUCACUGCACUUGGAACUUUUUUGCAUUAAGACAAUGAAGGCUCCUGAUUAACCAAAUUAUGUUUUCCAAGAAAUGUAACACCUUAAUUGAUCCAGAAAAAGCAAGUCUACUUCUUACAAAAUGCAGUAGGAAUGAAACAAGGAGGUCUACUUUACUCUAAAAUUACUUCAGCAAGACCCAAAAUAAGUGAAGCAA